CUAAUACAUGCAAGUAGAACGNCUGAAGGAGGAGCUUGCUCUUCUGGAUGAGUUGCGAACGGGUGAGUAACGCGUAGGUAACCUGCCUGGUAGCGGGGGAUAACUAUUGGAAACGAUAGCUAAUACCGCAUAAAAACGGUUGUUGCAUGACAACUGUUUGAAAGGUGCAAUUGCAUCACUACCAGAUGGACCUGCGUUGUAUUAGCUAGUUGGUGGGGUAACGGCUCACCAAGGCGACGAUACAUAGCCGACCUGAGAGGGUGAUCGGCCACACUGGGACUGAGACACGGCCCAGACUCCUACGGGAGGCAGCAGUAGGGAAUCUUCGGCAAUGGACGGAAGUCUGACCGAGCAACGCCGCGUGAGUGAAGAAGGUUUUCGGAUCGUAAAGCUCUGUUGUAAGAGAAGAACGAGUGUGAGAGUGGAAAGUUCACACUGUGACGGUAUCUUACCAGAAAGGGACGGCUAACUACGUGCCAGCAGCCGCGGUAAUACGUAGGUCCCGAGCGUUGUCCGGAUUUAUUGGGCGUAAAGCGAGCGCAGGCGGUUAGAUAAGUCUGAAGUUAAAGGCUGUGGCUUAACCAUAGUACGCUUUGGAAACUGUUUAACUUGAGUGCAAGAGGGGAGAGUGGAAUUCCAUGUGUAGCGGUGAAAUGCGUAGAUAUAU
This 667-nucleotide ribosomal RNA is filed under the name uncultured Bacilli bacterium. RNAcentral describes it as "bacterial SSU rRNA". It matches the Rfam family "Bacterial small subunit ribosomal RNA", at positions 48 to 699 of the family's 1533-position model. The record is from RNAcentral. Lineage: Bacteria; Bacillati; Bacillota; Bacilli.